RNAcentral lists this ribosomal RNA (411 nucleotides) under uncultured bacterium. RNAcentral describes it as "bacterial SSU rRNA". It matches the Rfam family "Bacterial small subunit ribosomal RNA", at positions 8 to 433 of the family's 1533-position model. The record is from RNAcentral.
AGAGUUUGAUCCUGGCUCAGAAUCAACGCUGGCGGCGUGCCUAACACAUGCAAGUCGAACGAGAAAGUGGAGCAAUCCAUGAGUAAAGUGGCGCACGGGUGAGUAACACGUGACUAACCUACCCUUGAGUGGGGGAUAACCUAGAGAAAUCUGGGCUAAUACCGCAUAAUACCUUCGGGUCAAAGGAGCAAUUCGCUUAAGGAGGGGGUCGCGGCCGAUUAGUUAGUUGGCGGGGUAAUGGCCCACCAAGACGAUGAUCGGUAUCCGGCCUGAGAGGGCGCACGGACACACUGGAACUGAAACACGGUCCAGACUCCUACGGGAGGCAGCAGUGGGGAAUUUUGCGCAAUGGGGGAAACCCUGACGCAGCAACGCCGCGUGGAGGAUGAAGCCCCUUGGGGCGUAAACUCC